This 535-nucleotide ribosomal RNA is filed under the name uncultured bacterium. RNAcentral's name for it is "bacterial SSU rRNA". It matches the Rfam family "Bacterial small subunit ribosomal RNA", at positions 777 to 1307 of the family's 1533-position model. The record is from RNAcentral.
AAUAGAUACCCGGGUAGUCCACGCCGUAAACGAUGAGUGCUAAGUGUUAGAGGGUUUCCGCCCUUUAGUGCUGCAGCAAACGCAUUAAGCACUCCGCCUGGGGGAGUACGGUCGCAAGACUGAAACUCAAAGGAAUUGACGGGGGGCCCGCACAAGCGGUGGAGCAUGUGGUUUAAUUCGAAGCAACGCGAAGAACCUUACCAGGUCUUGACAUCCUUCGCUACUUCUAGAGAUAGAAGGUUCCCCUUCGGGGGACGGAGUGACAGGUGGUGCAUGGUUGUCGUCAGCUCGUGUCGUGAGAUGUUGGGUUAAGUCCCGCAACGAGCGCAACCCUUGACCUUAGUUGCCAGCAUUCAGUUGGGCACUCUAAGGUGACUGCCGGUGACAAACCGGAGGAAGGUGGGGAUGACGUCAAAUCAUCAUGCCCCUUAUGACCUGGGUCUACACACGUGCUACAAUGGAUGGUACAAAGGGCUGCAAGACUGCGAAGUCAAGCCAAUCCCAUAAAACCAUUCUCAGUUCGGAUUGCAGGCUG